ACUUCUGAGUUUGCUUAAGAUACUUUUCGACUAGAGGGGCAAAGAGGUGCUUGGAACGAAUGGUGUAGUAGUGAAAUGCGUUGAUAUCAUUCGGAACACCGAAAGCGAAGGCAGAGCACUGGGUGCCACCUGACACUGCUAGGACGAAAGCGUGGGUAGCGAAUGGGAUUAGAUACCCCAGUAGUCCACGCUGUAAACGAUGAAUACUAGGCAUGCGCGAGUAUCGACCCUCGUGCGAGCCGUAGCUAACGCGUUAAGUAUUCCGCCUGGGGAGUACGGCCGCAAGGCUAAAACUCAAAGGAAUUGACGGGGACCCGCACAAGCGGUGGAGCAUGUGGUUUAAUUCGACGGUAAGCGAGGAACCUUACCAGGGUUUGACAUGUAGCUGCAAGCGCACGGAAACGUGUGAUCUUC
RNAcentral lists this ribosomal RNA (414 nucleotides) under uncultured bacterium. RNAcentral describes it as "bacterial SSU rRNA". It matches the Rfam family "Bacterial small subunit ribosomal RNA", at positions 611 to 1018 of the family's 1533-position model. The record is from RNAcentral.